GGGGCUGUGGCUCAGUGGUUCAGCAACUGCUUGGUAUGCAGAAGGUCCCAAGUUCAAUCCCCAGCAACUCCA
Molecule: transfer RNA, 72 nt
Filed under: Sphaerodactylus townsendi
Lineage: Eukaryota; Metazoa; Chordata; Lepidosauria; Squamata; Sphaerodactylidae
Description: tRNA-Thr
Rfam family: tRNA
About the family: Transfer RNA (tRNA) molecules are approximately 80 nucleotides in length.
Source: RNAcentral